This 495-nucleotide ribosomal RNA is filed under the name uncultured bacterium. RNAcentral describes it as "partial 16S ribosomal RNA". It matches the Rfam family "Bacterial small subunit ribosomal RNA", at positions 28 to 505 of the family's 1533-position model. The record is from RNAcentral.
GAUGAACGCUGGCGGCGUGCCUAAUACAUGCAAGUCGAGCGAACAGACGAGGAGCUUGCUCCUCUGACGUUAGCGGCGGACGGGUGAGUAACACGUGGAUAACCUACCUAUAAGACUGGGAUAACUUCGGGAAACCGGAGCUAAUACCGGAUAAUAUAUUGAACCGCAUGGUUCAAUAGUGAAAGACGGUUUUGCUGUCACUUAUAGAUGGAUCCGCGCCGCAUUAGCUAGUUGGUAAGGUAACGGCUUACCAAGGCAACGAUGCGUAGCCGACCUGAGAGGGGGAUCGGCCACACUGGAACUGAGACACGGUCCAGACUCCUACGGGAGGCAGCAGUAGGGAAUCGUCCGCAAUGGGCGAAAGCCUGACGGAGCAACGCCGCGUGAGUGAUGAAGGUCUUCGGAUCGGAAAACUCUGUUAUUAGGGAAGAACAAAUGUGUAAGUAACUAUGCACGUCUUGACGGUACCGAAUCAGAAAGCCACGGCAAACUACG